AUGAACGCUGGCGGCGUGCCUAAUACAUGCAAGUCGAGCGCACAGACGAGGAGCUUGCUCCUCUGACGUUCGCGGCGGACGGGUGAGUAACACGUGGAUAACCUACCUAUAAGACUGGGAUAACUUCGGGAAACCGGAGCUAAUACCGGAUAAUAUAUUGAACCGCAUGGUUCAAUAGUGAAAGACGGUUUUGCUGUCACUUAUAGAUGGAUCCGCGCCGCAUUAGCUAGUUGGUAAGGUAACGGCUUACCAAGGCAACGAUGCGUAGCCGACCUGAGAGGGUGAUCGGCCACACUGGAACUGAGACACGGUCCAGACUCCUACGGGAGGCAGCAGUAGGGAAUCUUCCGCAAUGGGCGAAAGCUUGACGGAGCAACGCCGCGUGAGUGAUGAAGGUCUUCGGAUCGUAAAACUCUGUUAUUAGGGAAGAACAAAUGUGUAAGUAACUAUGCACGUCUUGACGGUACCUAAUCAGAAAGCCACGGCUAACUACGUG
Molecule: ribosomal RNA, 496 nt
Filed under: uncultured bacterium
Lineage: Bacteria
Description: partial 16S ribosomal RNA
Rfam family: Bacterial small subunit ribosomal RNA
Source: RNAcentral